Molecule: ribosomal RNA, 229 nt
Filed under: uncultured bacterium
Lineage: Bacteria
Description: partial 16S ribosomal RNA
Rfam family: Bacterial small subunit ribosomal RNA
Source: RNAcentral
UGCGUAGGCGGGGCAAUUAGUCAGUGGUGAAAUCCUGCGGCUUAACCGUAGAACUGCCAUUGAUACUGUUGCUCUUGAGUAUAGUUGAGGUGGGCGGAAUGUGUAAUGUAGCGGUGAAAUGCAUAGAGAUUACACAGAACACCAAUUGCGAAGGCAGCUCACUAAACUAUAACUGACGCUGAGGCACGAAAGCGUGGGGAGCGAACGGGAUUAGAUACCCUGGUAGUCC